AGUCGUUGGGGCAAGAGUUGAGGAUCAACGAUGCGACCGCCGAUUUGACCACUUUUCAGCAGCAUGGAAACCGUGCUUUAGCUUCUAAGGACAUGAGGAAAUCCCACGACAGAGGGAUGUCUCACUCUGAUGAGUCUCGCCUGUCCAACCUCCUGCGCCGUGUGUCCCGUGAGGAGGACAGGGACCGCCGGCUGGCCACUGUCAGACAGCUCCGGGAGUUCAUCACUCACUCUGACAACAAAGUGGCCCUGGUGAAACAGUUGGAUACGAUCCUCAGUACCCUGAAUGAUAUUUUGAAUGAAAGGUAAGAGGAAGUUCCCCAUCAGAGCCAAAGAGUCUCCAUCUGAAAUGGCACCCUGUUCCCUGCGCCCUGUUCCCUG
This is a long non-coding RNA of Oncorhynchus kisutch (coho salmon), 380 nucleotides long. RefSeq lists it as uncharacterized. The transcript has 3 exons. Lineage: Eukaryota; Metazoa; Chordata; Actinopteri; Salmoniformes; Salmonidae. The record is from RefSeq and is a predicted model, not a curated record.